AGGCCUUUCGGGGUACACGAGCGGCGAACGGGUGAGUAACACGUGGGUGAUCUGCCCUGCACUUCGGGAUAAGCCUGGGAAACUGGGUCUAAUACCGGAUAUGACCUCCUGUCGCAUGGUGGGUGGUGGAAAGAUUUAUCGGUGCAGGAUGGGCCCGCGGCCUAUCAGCUUGUUGGUGGGGUAAUGGCCUACCAAGGCGACGACGGGUAGCCGACCUGAGAGGGUGACCGGCCACACUGGGACUGAGACACGGCCCAGACUCCUACGGGAGGCAGCAGUGGGGAAUAUUGCACAAUGGGCGAAAGCCUGAUGCAGCGACGCCGCGUGAGGGAUGACGGCCUUCGGGUUGUAAACCUCUUUCAGCAGGGACGAAGCGCAAGUGACGGUACCUGCAGAAGAAGCACCGGCUAACUACGUGCCAGCAGCCGCGGUAAUACGUAGGGUGCAAGCGUUGUCCGGAAUUACUGGGCGUAAAGAGUUCGUAGGCGGUUUGUCGCGUCGUUUGUGAAAACCAGCAGCUCAACUGCUGGCUUGCAGGCGAUACGGGCAGACUUGAGUACUGCAGGGGAGACUGGAAUUCCUGGUGUAGCGGUGAAAUGCGCAGAUAUCAGGAGGAACACCGGUGGCGAAGGCGGGUCUCUGGGCAGUAACUGACGCUGAGGAACGAAAGCGUGGGUAGCGAACAGGAUUAGAUACCCUGGUAGUCCACGCCGUAAACGGUGGGCGCUAGGUGUGGGUUCCUUCCACGGAAUCCGUGCCGUAGCUAACGCAUUAAGCGCCCCGCCUGGGGAGUACGGCCGCAAGGCUAAAACUCAAA
This 817-nucleotide ribosomal RNA is filed under the name Rhodococcus qingshengii. RNAcentral's name for it is "bacterial SSU rRNA". It matches the Rfam family "Bacterial small subunit ribosomal RNA", at positions 73 to 905 of the family's 1533-position model. The record is from RNAcentral. Lineage: Bacteria; Bacillati; Actinomycetota; Actinomycetes; Mycobacteriales; Nocardiaceae.